UACCAGCCCCCUGAGUGGUAAGGAUGAUUAUUUGGCCUAAAGCGUUCGUAGCCGGCUUGACAAGUCUUUUGUUAAAUCCAACGAUUCAAUCGUUGGGCCGCAAAAGAUACUGUUAUGCUAGAGGACGGGAGAGGUCGACGGUAGUCCAGGGGUAGGGGUGAAAUCCUAUAAUCCUUGGAGGACCACCAGUGGCGAAGGCGGUCGACUAGAACGUGCCUGACGGUGAGGGACGAAAGCUGGGGGAGCGAACCGGAUUAGAUACCCGGGUAGUCCCAGCUGUAAACGAUGCGGGCUAGGUGUUGGGGUAGCCACGAGCUGCCCCAGUGCCGCAGAGAAGUUGUUAAGCCCGCCGCCUGGGGAUACGGCCGCAAGGCUGAAACUUAAAGGAAUUGGCGGGGAGCACCACAAGGGGUGAAGGCUGCGGUUU
RNAcentral lists this ribosomal RNA (427 nucleotides) under uncultured archaeon. RNAcentral's name for it is "bacterial SSU rRNA". It matches the Rfam family "Archaeal small subunit ribosomal RNA", at positions 474 to 903 of the family's 1478-position model. The record is from RNAcentral.